GCUGGGUGAGUUUUUUCCU
RNAcentral lists this small nuclear RNA (19 nucleotides) under Arabidopsis thaliana (thale cress). RNAcentral describes it as "snRNA_05023". The record is from RNAcentral. Lineage: Eukaryota; Viridiplantae; Streptophyta; Magnoliopsida; Brassicales; Brassicaceae.